RNAcentral lists this ribosomal RNA (253 nucleotides) under uncultured bacterium. RNAcentral describes it as "partial 16S ribosomal RNA". It matches the Rfam family "Bacterial small subunit ribosomal RNA", at positions 524 to 776 of the family's 1533-position model. The record is from RNAcentral.
UACGGGGGGGGCAAGCGUUGUUCGGAAUUACUGGGCGUAAAGGGCUCGUAGGCGGCCAACUAAGUCAGACGUGAAAUCCCUCGGCUUAACCGGGGAACUGCGUCUGAUACUGGAUGGCUUGAGUUUGGGAGAGGAAUGCGGAAUUCCAGGUGUAGCGGUGAAAUGCGUAGAUAUCUGGAGGAACACCGGUGGCGAAGGCGACAUCCUGGACCAACACUGACGCUGAGGAGCGAAAGCCAGGGGAGCAAACGGG